GAGACAGUUCGGUCCCUAUCUGCCGUGGGUGUAGGAUACUUGAGAGGAGUUGCCCCUAGUACGAGAGGACCGGGGUGAACGAUCCACUGGUGGACCAGUUGUUAUGCCAAUAGCAGUGCUGGGUAGCUAUGAUCGGAAAGGAUAACCGCUGAAGGCAUCUAAGCGGGAAGCCCCCCUCAAAACAAGGUAUCCCU
This 194-nucleotide ribosomal RNA is filed under the name Celeribacter baekdonensis B30. RNAcentral describes it as "partial 23S ribosomal RNA". It matches the Rfam family "Bacterial large subunit ribosomal RNA", at positions 2623 to 2816 of the family's 2925-position model. The record is from RNAcentral. Lineage: Bacteria; Pseudomonadati; Pseudomonadota; Alphaproteobacteria; Rhodobacterales; Roseobacteraceae.